CUACGGGAGGCUGCAGUGAGGAAUUUUGCGCAAUGGGGGAAACCCUGACGCAGCAACGCCGCGUGAGUGAUGAAGGCUUUCGGGUCGUAAAGCUCUGUCAAGUGGGAAGAACAUACAUAAGGCCAAUACCUUUAUGUACUGACGGUACCACUGAAGGAAGCACCGGCUAACUCCGUGCCAGCAGCCGCGGUAAUACGGGGGGUGCAAGCGUUAUUCGGAAUCAUUGGGCGUAAAGAGCACGUAGGCGGUUAUCUAAGUCAGAUGUGAAAGCCCGGGGCUUAACCCCGGAAGUGCAUUUGAUACUGGGAAACUUGAGUAUGGGAGAGGGAAGUGGAAUUCCCGGUGUAGAGGUGAAAUUCGUAGAUAUCAGGAGGAACACCGGUGGCGAAGGCGACUUCCUGGACCAAUACUGACGCUGAGGUGCGAAGGCGUGGGGAGCAAACAGGAUUAGAUACCCCUGUAGUC
RNAcentral lists this ribosomal RNA (465 nucleotides) under uncultured bacterium. RNAcentral's name for it is "partial 16S ribosomal RNA". It matches the Rfam family "Bacterial small subunit ribosomal RNA", at positions 339 to 795 of the family's 1533-position model. The record is from RNAcentral.